GAUGAACGCUGGCGGCGUGCCUAAUACAUGCAAGUCGAGCGAACAGACGAGGAGCUUGCUCCUCUGACGUUAGCGGCGGACGGGUGAGUAACACGUGGAUAACCUACCUAUAAGACUGGGAUAACUUCGGGAAACCGGAGCUAAUACCGGAUAAUAUAUUGAACCGCAUGGUUCAAUAGUGAAAGACGGUUUUGCUGUCACUUAUAGAUGGAUCCGCGCUGCAUUAGCUAGUUGGUAAGGUAACGGCUUACCAAGGCGACGAUGCGUAGCCGACCUGAGAGGGUGAUCGGCCACACUGGAACUGAGACACGGUCAAGACUCCUACGGGAGGCAGCAGUAGGGAAUCUUCCGCAAUGGGCGAAAGCCUGACGGAGCAACGCCGCGUGAGUGAUGAAGGUCUUCGGAUCGUAAAACUCUGUUAUUAGGGAAGAACAAAUGUGUAAGUAACUAUGCACGUCUUGACGGUACCUAAUCAGAAAGCCACGGCUAACUACGUG
RNAcentral lists this ribosomal RNA (497 nucleotides) under uncultured bacterium. Its description in RNAcentral is "partial 16S ribosomal RNA". It matches the Rfam family "Bacterial small subunit ribosomal RNA", at positions 28 to 507 of the family's 1533-position model. The record is from RNAcentral.